GGAUUUUGGUUAAGAGGGCGCGGUCGGCCGUUUGGUCUGUACUGCGUUGUCUUGACUUCCUGAUGAGGACAUGCUCUUGGUUAACGCUGAGACAUGGAGUCAUCGUGGUUACUUUGAAAAAAUUAGAGUGUUCAAAGCGGGCUUACGCUUGAAUAUAUUAGCAUGGAAUAACACUAUAGGACUCCUGUCCUAUCUCGUUGGUCUCGGGAUGGGAGUAAUGAUUAAGAGGAACAGUUGGGGGCAUUCGUAUUUCAUUGUCAGAGGUGAAAUUCUUGGAUUUAUGAAAGACGAACUUCUGCGAAAGCAUUUGCCAAGGAUGUUUUCAUUAAUCAAGAACGAAAGUUGGGGGCUCGAAGAUGAUUAGAUACCAUCCUAGUCUCAACCAUAAACGAUGCCGACUAGGGAUUGGUGGAUG
Molecule: ribosomal RNA, 415 nt
Filed under: Bathycoccus prasinos
Lineage: Eukaryota; Viridiplantae; Chlorophyta; Mamiellophyceae; Mamiellales; Bathycoccaceae
Description: SSU rRNA
Rfam family: Eukaryotic small subunit ribosomal RNA
Source: RNAcentral